This 440-nucleotide ribosomal RNA is filed under the name uncultured bacterium. RNAcentral describes it as "partial 16S ribosomal RNA". It matches the Rfam family "Bacterial small subunit ribosomal RNA", at positions 338 to 795 of the family's 1533-position model. The record is from RNAcentral.
CCUACGGGAGGCAGCAGUAGGGAAUAUUGCUCAAUGGGGGAAACUCUGAAGCAGCAACGCCGCGUGGAGGAUGAAGGUUUUCGGAUUGUAAACUCCUUUUGUUAGAGAAGAAAAUGACGGUAUCUAACGAAUCAGCACCGGCUAACUCCGUGUCAGCAGCCGCGGUAAUACGGAGGGUGCGAGCGUUACUGGGAAUCACUGGGCGGAACGAGCGCGGAGGCGGGAUAGCAAGUCAGAUGUGAAAUCCUAUGGCUUAACCAUAGAACUGCAUUUGAAACUGGUAUUCUAGAGUGUGGGAGAGGUAGGUGGAAUUCUAGGUGUAGGGGUAAAAUCCGUAGAGAUCAAGAGGAAUACUCAUGGCGAAGGCGACCUGCUAGAACAUAACUGACGCUGAUGCGCGAAAGCGUGGGGAGCAAACAGGAUUAGAUACCCGGGUAGUC